GAAUAUCCCUCAGUGGUGGAGCACUUGCCUAACAGGCAGAGGGUCAAUCAAGUACCCAGAGGUGUGGGUGCGGUGUGUUAGAUAUAUUGAUACAUGCUUUCAAAAAGGUUCUAAGUUACCAUCACAGGACAAGACUUUCCCGCUAGAACUCUUCAUCGGGCUUCAUACCAGACCCGCCACUAAUGAACGAAGUCCAGAAGUGAGGGAUGCCCCAUUCCCAACGCUCCAACCAGAGGGCGCUUCCACGUGGGUGCCGAUGCACGCACCUGCGGGACGCGGACCUCCAGCACGGUCGGGUCGGCUCCGGGGCCUGGCUCGUCCCGGAACCGAAAGAGCCGGGCUCCGGCCAUGAGGCCGAGCUCACACGGAGGGGUGUCCAGGGACGCCGGGUUAAGGGGCGGUGCUCAGGGGCUCCAGGUCGGACGCCGUCCAAACCAAAUACAGGAAGCAGGCGGCCG
This 458-nucleotide long non-coding RNA is filed under the name Rattus norvegicus (Norway rat). RNAcentral's name for it is "long non-coding RNA NONRATT006308". Lineage: Eukaryota; Metazoa; Chordata; Mammalia; Rodentia; Muridae. The record is from RNAcentral.